CCUACGGGUGGCUGCAGUGGGGAAUAUUGGACAAUGGGGGGAACCCUGAUCCAGCCAUGCCGCGUGUGUGAAGAAGGCCCUCGGGUUGUAAAGCACUUUCAGUGAGGAAGAACGCCUGGUGGUUAAUACCCAUCAGGAAAGACAUCACUCACAGAAGAAGCACCGGCUAACUCCGUGCCAGCAGCCGCGGUAAUACGGAGGGUGCGAGCGUUAAUCGGAAUUACUGGGCGUAAAGCGCGCGUAGGUGGCUUGAUAAGCCGGUUGUGAAAGCCCCGGGCUCAACCUGGGAACGGCAUCCGGAACUGUCAAGCUAGAGUGCAGGAGAGGAAGGUAGAAUUCCCGGUGUAGCGGUGAAAUGCGUAGAGAUCGGGAGGAAUACCAGUGGCGAAGGCGGCCUUCUGGACUGACACUGACACUGAGGUGCGAAAGCGUGGGUAGCAAACAGGAUAAGAUACCCUGGUAGUC
RNAcentral lists this ribosomal RNA (465 nucleotides) under Vreelandella stevensii. Its description in RNAcentral is "partial 16S ribosomal RNA". It matches the Rfam family "Bacterial small subunit ribosomal RNA", at positions 338 to 795 of the family's 1533-position model. Lineage: Bacteria; Pseudomonadati; Pseudomonadota; Gammaproteobacteria; Oceanospirillales; Halomonadaceae. The record is from RNAcentral.